Molecule: ribosomal RNA, 477 nt
Filed under: Pseudomonas sp. E11_ICE29
Lineage: Bacteria; Pseudomonadati; Pseudomonadota; Gammaproteobacteria; Pseudomonadales; Pseudomonadaceae
Description: bacterial SSU rRNA
Rfam family: Bacterial small subunit ribosomal RNA
Source: RNAcentral
CGUGUUGUGAAAGAAAGGUUCUUCGGAUUGUAAAGCACUUUAAGUUGGGAGGAAGGGCAGUUACUUAAUACGUGGAUUGUCUUGACGUUACCGACAGAAUAAGCACCGGCUAACUCUGUGCCAGCAGCCGCGGUAAUACAGAGGGUGCAAGCCGUUAAUCGGAAUUACUGGGCGUAAAGCGCGCGUAGGUGGUUUGUUAAGUUGAAUGUGAAAUCCCCGGGCUCAACCUGGGAACUGCAUCCAAAACUGGCAAGCUAGAGUAUGGUAGAGGGUAGUGGAAUUUCCUGUGUAGCGGUGAAAUGCGUAGAUAUAGGAAGGAACACCAGUGGCGAAGGCGACUACCUGGACUGAUACUGACACUGAGGUGCGAAAGCGUGGGGAGCAAACAGGAUUAGAUACCCUUGGUAGUCCACGCCGUAAACGAUGUCAACUAGCCGUUGGAAGUCUUGAACUCUUAGUGGGCGCAGCUAACGCAUU